RNAcentral lists this ribosomal RNA (884 nucleotides) under Trametes versicolor. RNAcentral describes it as "eukaryotic LSU rRNA". It matches the Rfam family "Eukaryotic large subunit ribosomal RNA", at positions 73 to 943 of the family's 3401-position model. The record is from RNAcentral. Lineage: Eukaryota; Fungi; Basidiomycota; Agaricomycetes; Polyporales; Polyporaceae.
GAUUCCCCUAACUGCGAGUGAAGCGGGAAAGCUCAGAUUUGAAAUCUGGCGGUCUUUGGCCGUCCGAGUUGUAGUCUGGAGAAGCGCUUUCCGCGCCGGACCAUGUACAAGUCCUCUGGAACGGGGCGUCGUAGAGGGUGAGAAUCCCGUCUUUGACAUGGACUACCGGUGCUUUGUGAUGCGCUCUCGAAGAGUCGAGUUGUUUGGGAAUGCAGCUCAAAACGGGUGGUGAAUUCCAUCUAAAGCUAAAUAUUGGCGAGAGACCGAUAGCGAACAAGUACCGUGAGGGAAAGAUGAAAAGCACUUUGGAAAGAGAGUUAAACAGUACGUGAAAUUGUUGAAAGGGAAACGCUUGGAGUCAGUCGCGUCGUCCAGAAUUCAGCCUGCGAACUCGUCGGUGUACUUUCUGGGUUGACGGGCAACAUCGAUUUCGAUCGGCGGACAAGGGCGGGGGAAAUGUGGCACCCUUACGGGGUGUGUUAUAGUCCUCGUCGGUAUACGGUGGUCGGGAUCGAGGACUCCGGACGCCCUUUUGGCCGGGGUUCGGCCCACGGUAACAGGCUUAGGAUGCUGGCGUAAUGGCUUUAAGCGACCCGUCUUGAAACACGGGACCAAGGAGUCUAACGUGCCUGCGAGUGUUUGGGUGUCAAACCCAGACGCGUAAUGAAAGUGAAAGGUCGGGACCUCUGUCGUGGAGGGCACCGACGCCCGGGCCAGACCUUUUGUGACGGUUCCGAGGUAGAGCAUGUAUGUUGGGACCCGAAAGAUGGUGAACUAUGCUUGAGUAGGGUGAAGCCAGAGGAAACUCUGGUGCAGGCUCGUAACGAUUCUUACGUACAAAUCGAUCCUCAAAUUUGGGUAUAGGGGCGAACUAAUCGAACCAU